CCUACGGGUGGCAGCAGUGAGGAAUAUUGGUCAAUGGGCGCGAGCCUGAACCAGCCAAGUAGCGUGAAGGAUGACUGCCCUACGGGUUGUAAACUUCUUUUAUAAAGGAAUAAAGUGAGGCACGUGUGCCUUUUUGUAUGUACUUUAUGAAUAAGGAUCGGCUAACUCCGUGCCAGCAGCCGCGGUAAUACGGAGGAUCCGAGCGUUAUCCGGAUUUAUUGGGUUUAAAGGGAGCGUAGGCGGGUUGUUAAGUCAGUUGUGAAAGUUUGCGGCUCAACCGUAAAAUUGCAGUUGAUACUGGCAUCCUUGAGUACAGUAGAGGUAGGCGGAAUUCGUGGUGUAGCGGUGAAAUGCUUAGAUAUCACGAAGAACUCCGAUUGCGAAGGCAGCCUGCUGGACUGUAACUGACGCUGAUGCUCGAAAGUGUGGGUAUCAAACAGGAUUAGAUACCCCAGUAGUC
RNAcentral lists this ribosomal RNA (460 nucleotides) under uncultured bacterium. RNAcentral's name for it is "partial 16S ribosomal RNA". It matches the Rfam family "Bacterial small subunit ribosomal RNA", at positions 338 to 795 of the family's 1533-position model. The record is from RNAcentral.